UGGGGAAUAUUGCACAAUGGGCGCAAGCCUGAUGCAGCCAUGCCGCGUGUGUGAAGAAGGCCUUCGGGUUGUAAAGCACUUUCAGCGGGGAGGAAGGCGUUAAGGUUAAUAACCUUGGCGAUUGACGUUACCCGCAGAAGAAGCACCGGCUAACUCCGUGCCAGCAGCCGCGGUAAUACGGAGGGUGCAAGCGUUAAUCGGAAUUACUGGGCGUAAAGCGCACGCAGGCGGUCUGUCAAGUCGGAUGUGAAAUCCCCGGGUUCAACCUGGGAACUGCAUUCGAAACUGGCAGGCUAGAGUCUUGUAGAGGGGGGUAGAAUUCCAGGUGUAGCGGUGAAAUGCGUAGAGAUCUGGAGGAAUACCGGUGGCGAAGGCGGCCCCCUGGACAAAGACUGACGCUCAGGUGCGAAAGCGUGGGGAGCAAACAGG
RNAcentral lists this ribosomal RNA (429 nucleotides) under Chloroflexota bacterium. RNAcentral describes it as "Chloroflexi bacterium partial 16S ribosomal RNA". It matches the Rfam family "Bacterial small subunit ribosomal RNA", at positions 355 to 776 of the family's 1533-position model. The record is from RNAcentral. Lineage: Bacteria; Bacillati; Chloroflexota.